UAUCUGUGAUCAUUAAUUUUCUGUGUCAACGUGGCUGGGUCACAGAGUUUCUGUGAGGGUGUCUUUGGAUGAGAUG
This is a small nucleolar RNA of Orcinus orca (killer whale), 76 nucleotides long. RefSeq annotates it as small nucleolar RNA SNORD66. The record is from RefSeq and is a predicted model, not a curated record. The transcript has a single exon. NCBI's taxonomy places the organism in Eukaryota, Metazoa, Chordata, Mammalia, Artiodactyla, Delphinidae.